This 553-nucleotide long non-coding RNA is filed under the name Mus pahari (shrew mouse). RNAcentral describes it as "lncRNA (MGP_PahariEiJ_G0012310.1)". Lineage: Eukaryota; Metazoa; Chordata; Mammalia; Rodentia; Muridae. The record is from RNAcentral.
GUUUACAAUGGCAUCCAGCUGCAGAGCAGUUUGCUGGCAAGAGCCUAGACAGGCCCUGGAGAAUGAAGAUGACAAGCAGCUUUGACUUCCUUCUGUUUUCAUGUUGAACAGCAGCCGCUGCUAGAGCCUGCUAUGUCUGAGACGAUCCCCACUCAUCACUGUCUCUCUUAGGUGAGAGGAAACGCCACACACACCAUAGAAGAGUAUGAAGAAAAGGUGGAGGAAGCUGGAACUAAGUUCAAUGCAGUUCAACAGCUAUGAGAAGCAUGCCACUGUGGGAUGUUCAGAGUGGAGGAGGCUACACAUGUGCAGUGAUUCAGAAUUGAGAGCAUCAUGCUGUCCGUGGGAGCCCUCUGCUCAAAGGUUCUUGAGAGCCCCCAGGGUCAAGCAAGGUAUGGACAGAGAUGUGCUCCAACCACUGAGGCCUCUACAAAAGCUGCAAAUAAUUCUUCCUAAAAAGUAACUCUCCAGCAGUGAAAACUUAGUUUAAGGUACAAUGAUGGAUGAAUAUAGGAUCAGAUAUUUAUCUUUAAUUAAACAUAUUCAUGGCCAC